UACGUAGGGAGCAAGCGUUGUCCGGAAUCAUUGGGCGUAAAGCGCGCGUAGGUGGCCACAUAAGUCCGUUGUGAAAGUCAAAGGCUCAACCUUUGAAAGCCGAUGGAUACUGUGUGGCUAGAGUACGGAAGAGGCGAGUGGAAUUCCUGGUGUAGCGGUGGAAUGCGCAGAUAUCAGGAGGAACACCGGUGGCGAAGGCGGUUCUCUGGGCAUGACCUGACGCUGAGGAGCGAAAGUGUGGGGAGCGAACAGG
This 253-nucleotide ribosomal RNA is filed under the name uncultured bacterium. RNAcentral's name for it is "partial 16S ribosomal RNA". It matches the Rfam family "Bacterial small subunit ribosomal RNA", at positions 524 to 776 of the family's 1533-position model. The record is from RNAcentral.